This 755-nucleotide ribosomal RNA is filed under the name Bimastos magnum. Its description in RNAcentral is "partial large subunit ribosomal RNA". Lineage: Eukaryota; Metazoa; Annelida; Clitellata; Crassiclitellata; Lumbricidae. The record is from RNAcentral.
UUGGCCUUUCGUAAAUUAAAUGAUAGGUAAUUCCUGCCCAGUGAMUUUAAAGUUCAACGGCCGCGGUAUCCUAACCGUGCAAAGGUAGCACAAUCACUUGCCCAUUAAUUGUGGUCUAGAAUGAAAGGACUAACGAAAUAGAUACUGUCUCUUUAAGUAAAAUAAAAAUUAAACUCUAACUGAAGAGUGUUAGAUAAUGUCGAAGGACAAGAAGACCCUAUAGAGCUUUAUUUAACAAAAGACUCUUAUAUAAUUCGGUUGGGGCGACCAGGGAAGUAUUAAAUCAUCCCUUUCUAAUAGAUAAAUUAAUCCUUUUCWUGACCCUUAAAUAAGAUCACAAAACCAAGCUACCUUAGGGAUUACAGGCUUAUCCCAUUAAAGAGUCAUAUAAAGAUGGUUUGUUCAACCACUAACACCCUACAUGAGCUGAGUUCAGACCGGCGCAAGCCAGGUUAUUUUCUAUCCUCGACUAAAAUUUAGUCUAUUUGCUGUACGAAAGGRCCUAAAUAUGAAUAAACUUUAUAACUUGAGAAAUCAUAUAAUAAUAAGAUUAAUAAAUUAAACACUUAAACUAUUAAUAAGUUGGCAGAAUAGUGCCMCUGACUUAGAAUAAGUUUAUGGGUAAUACCCACUUAUUAUGUAACUUAGUUUAAUUAGAACAGUCAAUUUGCACUUGGAAAGUGAGGAAACUCAAUAGCGGUUUGAUGUUUAGGAAACAUUGGAUUUKGAAUGAUAAAAUUGUGAAAUCAUCUUCA